Molecule: ribosomal RNA, 460 nt
Filed under: uncultured bacterium
Lineage: Bacteria
Description: partial 16S ribosomal RNA
Rfam family: Bacterial small subunit ribosomal RNA
Source: RNAcentral
CCUACGGGGUGCUGCAGUGAGGAAUAUUGGUCAAUGGGCGCGAGCCUGAACCAGCCAAGUAGCGUGAAGGAUGACUGCCCUACGGGUUGUAAACUUCUUUUAUAAAGGAAUAAAGUGAGGCACGUGUGCCUUUUUGUAUGUACUUUAUGAAUAAGGAUCGGCUAACUCCGUGCCAGCAGCCGCGGUAAUACGGAGGUUCCGAUCGUUAUCCGAGUUGAUUGGGUUUAAAGGGAGCGUAGAUGGGUUGUUAAGUCAGUUGUUAAAGUUUGCGGCUCAACCGUAAAAUUGCAAGUGAUACUGGCAGACUUGAGUACAGGUGAGGUAGGCGGAAUUCGAGGUGUAGCGGUGAAAUGCUUAGAUAGCACGAAGAACUCCGAUUGCGAAGGCAGCCUACUAAACUGCCACUGACAUUGAUGCUCGAAAGUGUGGGUAUCAAACAGGAUUAGAUACCCCUGUAGUC